This 377-nucleotide unclassified non-coding RNA is filed under the name plant metagenome. RNAcentral describes it as "partial contains 5.8S ribosomal RNA, internal transcribed spacer 2, and large subunit ribosomal RNA". The stretch from base 1 to 106 matches the Rfam family "5.8S ribosomal RNA", at positions 49 to 154 of the family's 154-position model. The record is from RNAcentral.
CGAAAUGCGAUAAGUAAUGUGAAUUGCAGAAUUCAGUGAAUCAUCGAAUCUUUGAACGCACCUUGCGCUCCUUGGUAUUCCUUGGAGCAUGCCUGUUUGAGUAUCAUGAAAUCUUCAAAGUAAAUCUUUUGUUAACUCAAUUGGUUUCUACUUUGGUAUUGGAGGUCUUUGCAGCUUCACACCUGCUCCUCUUUGUUCAUUAGCUGGAUCUCAGUGUUAUGCUUGGUUCCACUCGGCGUGAUAAGUUAUCUAUCGCUGAGGACACUGUAAAAGGUGGCCAAGGUAAAUGCAGAUGAACCGCUUCUAAUAGUCCAUUGACUUGGACAAUACUUUUAUGAUCUGAUCUCAAAUCAGGUAGGACUACCCGCUGAACUUAA